RNAcentral lists this ribosomal RNA (540 nucleotides) under Bifidobacterium adolescentis JCM 15918. RNAcentral describes it as "bacterial SSU rRNA". It matches the Rfam family "Bacterial small subunit ribosomal RNA", at positions 157 to 707 of the family's 1533-position model. The record is from RNAcentral. Lineage: Bacteria; Bacillati; Actinomycetota; Actinomycetes; Bifidobacteriales; Bifidobacteriaceae.
CGGGUGGUAAUGCCGGAUGCUCCGACAUGACGCAUGUCGUGUCGGGAAAGAUUCAUCGGUAUGGGAUGGGGUCGCGUCCUAUCAGCUUGAUGGCGGGGUAACGGCCCACCAUGGCUUCGACGGGUAGCCGGCCUGAGAGGGCGACCGGCCACAUUGGGACUGAGAUACGGCCCAGACUCCUACGGGAGGCAGCAGUGGGGAAUAUUGCACAAUGGGCGCAAGCCUGAUGCAGCGACGCCGCGUGCGGGAUGACGGCCUUCGGGUUGUAAACCGCUUUUGACUGGGAGCAAGCCCUUCGGGGUGAGUGUACCUUUCGAAUAAGCACCGGCUAACUACGUGCCAGCAGCCGCGGUAAUACGUAGGGUGCAAGCGUUAUCCGGAAUUAUUGGGCGUAAAGGGCUCGUAGGCGGUUCGUCGCGUCCGGUGUGAAAGUCCAUCGCUUAACGGUGGAUCCGCGCCGGGUACGGGCGGGCUUGAGUGCGGUAGGGGAGACUGGAAUUCCCGGUGUAACGGUGGAAUGUGUAGAUAUCGGAAAAGAAC